AGCAGCCGCGGUAAUUCCAGCUCCAAUAGCGUAUAUUAAAGUUGUUGCAGUUAAAAAGCUCGUAGUUGAAUUUCGGGGUUAGUAGGUUGGUCAUGCCUCUGGUAUGUACUGGUCUCACUGAUUCCUCCUUCCUGAUGAGCCGUAAUGCCAUUAAUUUGGUGUUGCGGGGAAUUUGGACUGUUACUUUGAAAAAUUAGAGUGUUUAAAGCAAGCUAACGCUUGAAUACAUUAGCAUGGAAUAAUGAAAUAGGACGUUCGAUCCUAUUUUGUUGGUUUCUAGGAUUGACGUAAUGAUUAAUAGGGAUAGUUGGGGGCAUUAGUACUCAAUUGUCAGAGGUGAAAUUCUUGGAUUUAUUGAAGACUAACUACUGCGAAAGCAUUUGCCAAGGAUGUUUUCAUUAAUCAAGAACGAAAGUUAGGGGAUCGAAGACGAUCAGAUACCGUCGUAGUCUUAACCAUAAACUAUGCCGA
RNAcentral lists this ribosomal RNA (471 nucleotides) under uncultured Glomus. Its description in RNAcentral is "SSU rRNA". It matches the Rfam family "Eukaryotic small subunit ribosomal RNA", at positions 569 to 1045 of the family's 1831-position model. Lineage: Eukaryota; Fungi; Glomeromycota; Glomeromycetes; Glomerales; Glomeraceae. The record is from RNAcentral.